AAUAUCUCAAGACCAGAGAUCCUGUGGCUGCAGGUUCCUACAAUGAAUUUGGAUAUAACCAAAGAAGCUCAAAGAACCAUGCCCUAUAAAUGAAAAUCAAGAUGGGACAUUCAUUGAUGCUAUAGUUCCAAAAUUGGCUCUGACAGCCUUGGUACACAUCUUUUACAAAUUCAUAAGAGAUAAAUUUCUACCCAGAAAGCCUAGAAGAGCAAUGAAGAUGGAUGUGAAGACUUGUUUUGACACUGACUGUGCAAUUCACCAGCUCUGUGACCUUCAGCAAUCAAUUUAACCUCUCCAGAAAUCAAACCCAUUACUUGACAAGGAAGCAGGCAGCAUAUGACUCCCACCUGGCUGUACGAGGGGGGACCCUCUUGGACACGGACCCACGCUAAGGAGCAGGAGAUUACAGAAUGGAUGGGAGUCGGGGAGGAG
Molecule: long non-coding RNA, 432 nt
Filed under: Equus caballus (horse)
Lineage: Eukaryota; Metazoa; Chordata; Mammalia; Perissodactyla; Equidae
Description: lncRNA (ENSECAG00000040606.3)
Source: RNAcentral